GCAGGUGACGCCGGAGGGCGACCGCUUCAUGCCGAUCGUCCCGUUCGUCUACUUCACGGGCCGCGGCGAUCGCCAGCGCGUCAUCGAGGCAGUCACGCCGUUCCUCGACGCCGACCUUGGCGAGCACCACCUUACGC
Molecule: unclassified non-coding RNA, 137 nt
Filed under: plant metagenome
Description: partial contains 5.8S ribosomal RNA, internal transcribed spacer 2, and large subunit ribosomal RNA
Source: RNAcentral